GGAGCAGACAUAGCUCAGUAGUUAGAGCAGCUGCUUUUCAUGUAGAAGGUCCCAGGUUCAGUUCCUGACAUCUCCA
Molecule: non-coding RNA, 76 nt
Organism: Podarcis lilfordi (Lilford's wall lizard)
Lineage: Eukaryota; Metazoa; Chordata; Lepidosauria; Squamata; Lacertidae
Source: the annotation of a GenBank genome assembly